UACAGAGGGUGCAAGCGUUAAUCGGAAUUAUUGGGCGUAAAGGGCUUGUAGGUGGUUCUUUAAGUUAGAUGUGAAAACCCUGGGCUUAACCUGGGACGUGCAUUUAAUACUGGAGAGCUAGAGUAUAGUAGAGGAGAGGGGAAUUCCUGGUGUAGCAGUGAAAUGCGUAGAGAUCAGGAGGAACAUCUGUGGCGAAGGCGCCUCUCUGGACUAAUACUGACACUGAGGAGCGAAGGCGUGGGGAUCAAACAGG
RNAcentral lists this ribosomal RNA (253 nucleotides) under uncultured bacterium. Its description in RNAcentral is "partial 16S ribosomal RNA". It matches the Rfam family "Bacterial small subunit ribosomal RNA", at positions 524 to 776 of the family's 1533-position model. The record is from RNAcentral.